UGAAAGUCUAUGAGGAAGGACGACCUACUGCCCCCAGCAGGAUGAGGCUGAGAACUGACCACUGGUCUUAGCAACAUGACCACCACUACAGACCUGGACGAGAACAGUUUAACAGGAGUGGUAGGGGCAAAACGCUGACCAGAGACCUUUAAAGAUGAAGAGUGGGGAAAACUUGGAGGCGGCAAGGAGUUCCCAGUAAAUUGGAGGAGAAAAAUGGAGUCAAGAGAAAGGCAGACUGUCUGGUAUUCAGCGGGGGCUCAGUCAAUGUGAAAGAAAUGAAUUCUCCACACCCCACAGACGCGGACGCUGGGGCUCAGAGAGGUAGAGAGACUUGUCCACGGUGGAAAGGCAAACCCUGAGCCUCAUGACUUUGGCCUACACUUGACCUUGCCCAUGUGAAGAGAUGGAGGGCCACUAACUCCAGACUCUCCUGUUAGGCGGCUUCCUACAGAGACUACGGAAUUCUCAUACUCUUCUAAUGUAAGUGGCCCAAAGAGAGUGAAACCUAAUUAACAGAUAUAAUGAGGUAAAAUAUUCAUUUACUGAUAGUGAUGAAAUCCCGCUCAAGUCAACUAGUGAUGAAAUUUCUGACUGCUACCGUACUUCUCAAGAGCUGCUGAAAAGGCUAAUUUUCUGCUCCUACAUGACUUAAAUCCCUUGAGAUCCAUUCACACUUAAUGUAAUCUAGGAACAAAAAAUGAAUGUUGUUUUCUCCCUUCUGUACCUUGAAGCAUUUGCUCCUCAGCAGGGUUAUAUAACAGACACCUUUCAAGUGACUCUGUGUCAAUUAAGA
RNAcentral lists this long non-coding RNA (793 nucleotides) under Callithrix jacchus (white-tufted-ear marmoset). RNAcentral describes it as "lncRNA (ENSCJAG00000069066.2)". The record is from RNAcentral. Lineage: Eukaryota; Metazoa; Chordata; Mammalia; Primates; Cebidae.